UACGUAGGGAGCGAGCGUUGUCCGGAUUCAUUGGGCGUAAAGGGCGCGUAGGUGGUGGCUUAAGCGUGCGGUGAAAGCUCGGAGCUCAACUCCGAGUCGGCCGUGCGAACUGGGCUCACUGGAGCAUAGUAGAGGCAGGUGGAAUUCCGGGUGUAGCGGUGGAAUGCGUAGAGAUCCGGAAGAACACCGGUGGUGAAGGCGGCCUGCUGGGCUAUGGCUGACACUGAGGCGCGACAGCGUGGGGAGCAAACAGG
This 254-nucleotide ribosomal RNA is filed under the name uncultured bacterium. RNAcentral describes it as "partial 16S ribosomal RNA". It matches the Rfam family "Bacterial small subunit ribosomal RNA", at positions 524 to 776 of the family's 1533-position model. The record is from RNAcentral.